Molecule: ribosomal RNA, 987 nt
Filed under: Staphylococcus argenteus
Lineage: Bacteria; Bacillati; Bacillota; Bacilli; Caryophanales; Staphylococcaceae
Description: bacterial SSU rRNA
Rfam family: Bacterial small subunit ribosomal RNA
Source: RNAcentral
CGAGCGACGGACGAGAAGCUUGCUUCUCUGAUGUUAGCGGCGGACGGGUGAGUAACACGUGGAUAACCUACCUAUAAGACUGGGAUAACUUCGGGAAACCGGAGCUAAUACCGGAUAAUAUUUUGAACCGCAUGGUUCAAAAGUGAAAGACGGUCUUGCUGUCACUUAUAGAUGGAUCCGCGCUGCAUUAGCUAGUUGGUAAGGUAACGGCUUACCAAGGCAACGAUGCAUAGCCGACCUGAGAGGGUGAUCGGCCACACUGGAACUGAGACACGGUCCAGACUCCUACGGGAGGCAGCAGUAGGGAAUCUUCCGCAAUGGGCGAAAGCCUGACGGAGCAACGCCGCGUGAGUGAUGAAGGUCUUCGGAUCGUAAAACUCUGUUAUUAGGGAAGAACAUAUGUGUAAGUAACUGUGCACAUCUUGACGGUACCUAAUCAGAAAGCCACGGCUAACUACGUGCCAGCAGCCGCGGUAAUACGUAGGUGGCAAGCGUUAUCCGGAAUUAUUGGGCGUAAAGCGCGCGUAGGCGGUUUUUUAAGUCUGAUGUGAAAGCCCACGGCUCAACCGUGGAGGGUCAUUGGAAACUGGAAAACUUGAGUGCAGAAGAGGAAAGUGGAAUUCCAUGUGUAGCGGUGAAAUGCGCAGAGAUAUGGAGGAACACCAGUGGCGAAGGCGACUUUCUGGUCUGUAACUGACGCUGAUGUGCGAAAGCGUGGGGAUCAAACAGGAUUAGAUACCCUGGUAGUCCACGCCGUAAACGAUGAGUGCUAAGUGUUAGGGGGUUUCCGCCCCUUAGUGCUGCAGCUAACGCAUUAAGCACUCCGCCUGGGGAGUACGACCGCAAGGUUGAAACUCAAAGGAAUUGACGGGGACCCGCACAAGCGGUGGAGCAUGUGGUUUAAUUCGAAGCAACGCGAAGAACCUUACCAAAUCUUGACAUCCUUUGACAACUUCUAGAGAAUAGAAGCCUUCCCCUUUCGGGGGA